GGUCUCAGGAGCAAAUACAGAGUAUUUGGGUAGUGAAUAUAUGUGCAAUUUAUCUAAUCUGUAUUUUUGUUAUAUUUUUAAAUUUUUACUUUCCCAUGUGCAGUUCCACCCCAGGGCCUUUGCAUUUACCCUUCCCAGAAUGUUUUUCCUCCAGACAUCCACGUGGUUCCCUCCUUUGUUUCAUUCAUAAUUUGCUCACAUGACACCUUAUCAGAGACACUUGCCUUGACUAUUUAUUCUAAAUGAAAUUGCAUCAUGAGUCCUCCACAUCUUUUUCUAUCCUCUCGCCCUGCCACAUGUUUGUUUAUGGCUUCUCUGCCCCUACAAAAGGUAAGCUCCUACUAUAGUCUGAAUGUCGCUUGAGAAUUCAUACGUUGAAACCUAAUGCUCAAUGUGAUGGUAUUAGGAGGUGGGGGCCUUUGGGAAGUGAUCAGGCCAUGAGAGUAAGAGCCAUUAUGAAUGAUCAGUAUCCUUAAAAAAAAGACUCCAAAGAGCUCCCUUCCACCAUGUGAAGACAGCAGAAAGACUGCCAUGAGGAAGCACGCCCUUACCAGAUACCGAAUCUAUUGGUACCUUGAUUUUCGACUUCCUAUCAUCCAGAACUGUGAAAAAUAAAUUCUGUUGUUUAUAAGCCACCCAAUCUAUGGUAGUCUGUCACAGCAGCCAAAAAAGGGCUUAGACCACUCCAGAGAAUAGAGAUGUGGCUGCGUUUAACUAGGAUCCCUCCAGCUCCUACAGUACUGGGUAGGUGGAAAUCCAUCAAUAAAUAUCAGUGAAUGAAUGAAUUUAAGAAGCCAAAGAUGAAAAGAUAAUAUAUUUGGUUUUGAAACAGAGGGGACAGGAUCAUUAAAUUUCACUCUGUAAGUUAUCCACCUUGUCCUGCCAAUUUAUUUACAACAUAAAGUUCACAACACUGGAACCAAUUAUAGUCUCACUACUUCUUAUAAUAUUUAAGACAGGCUAUUGCAAUCUGAGAGAAACUGACUAUAGAUCCCAGAACUUUGUUUUAUGCUUUCCCCAUGUCUUCAAUAACAGGAAGGAAAAUAAAACAAGCAAAGAAUCAACAACAAAAAAGAAAACGUAAACUCAGGCUGGAGGAGGUAAUAUUUGUUUUUUAAAAAAUUAUCAUAUGCUCUUUGACAGUUUGAUCUUUACAGAUAAAAGAAAGAAGUGUACAAAUGUAGAAUAUGAAUUUUUUUUAUUUCUUUAAAUAUAUAUGUCAUGAUAACUAUAUGACUUGAGUUAUAACAUAGCUUUAUUGCUAUAGUAGAAAUAACUGAGCUUUGGUGAAUUAGUGUCUUUUUCCAUCGUGAGAUGGACACCGUCAAGGCGAACAGAAGAUGAAGAUGGUGCCUGCAUCUAUGAGGUGAGAGAGUUAAGUGCUGCACUGCUGUACUAAGCACAGAGCAUGGGCAUAUGGGCUGGGUUUUUCUAGGCCCAGAAAAAGCUUCAGGCAAGGACAGGGACAAGGGAUAUACCUACUCUGCUCCAAGCACUGCCCACAGGUCAAAGCAGCUUCUCUGUGAGUCAAUGCUUUAGUUACAAACAAUUGUCUCAGGAGUGAGAUCAUUAAUCACAUUUUAACUGAGGAUACUGCAAACCCCAAGAAGGCAUCAGAAGACUUUUUAAAUCCUUCUAUAUCAUAAUUAUCCAGUUUUUUGGUCCAAAUGUAAAGUUCAUAGAGGUUGUCUAUAAAAAAUAAAGUGGUACAAAAGGAAACCUUAUUUGAAAGUAAAAGUUAAGAAGCAAGGGGUUGUAAGUGAAUUUGAAGUCCAGUCUACAGUGUUGUUAUAGUUACCUAAGACAAACAGUGACAUGGCAGAGAGCCUCCAAACUAACACACUUAAAAAAAAAAAAAACAAAAAAAGCUUUAAAAAAAAAAAAAAAACUGUCUUCCCCUCCAUUUCCAUAGAGCUCCAACCUUCUAUCCUUGUUCCUGUGGAUUCUUGCAGAGACCAUCUGGCAUUAGAAAAUGACCAGGCUGUGAUUAUUGUGAUUUGUACACCUUUAGAAACAGAAUAGAUAACAGGAAAGGGUGCGGGGGUCUUGGAGAUGUAGCUAUUCAAUUAAAUAAUAAUUCAGUGGCCACCUGCUAUGUGUAUUGCCCCAACUGUUCCUAGGGAGUCAAUGGUAAAUAAGACUAAAUCUUUAUCCAAAGAAAGCUUUACAGUAUAGCAAGGGUAAAAUGGUAGCUACAUGACUGACUAUAAUACAUGCUAGAAAAAGAAAAGGUAUAUGCUAUAACGGGACAGAAACCAAAGUCUCUGAGGUACAAAGAUGAUGACAUUACAUGUUUUGGGGGAUCCAAUAUGGAAGUAAACCAUGAGAAAUGGAUUGUAAGAAUGGCUAUUGUAGGUAGACAGAACUUCAAGAGCAAUAGUAACGAAUGAGGAAGAAUAAGUAUGAAUAAAAAGAAGUUCAGCUUAUUAGCUCAGAGGGAAUAUACAGUGGAGCAGUGCUAAGAUGCAAUAUUGGAACGCAAAACGAUAUUAGAAAAAAUUAGAAUAUGGUAAAGGUUUUACCAUUUAUCCAUCAUGAAUGAAUGGUACCCUAACAGCAAUGACAAUGAACUGAGAUGGAAGAGUGAGGCGAUGAGAUGGCUUGUUAGGAUGCAACCGCAGUCCAGGUAAGCAGUGAUAAGAGUCUGGAAUAAAGUGAUGAUAAUCAAAAUGGGCAAGAGCAACAGCAUUAACACAGGAGGGAAAACUGGAUUUGUAUAGGAUUGGCUACAGAGACACCAGGGAAGGGGAAGGGCCUGUUAAUGACAGUUCUAAGCUAUGGAGCUUCAGUGACACAGGGAGUGCUAUGUACCCUCCUCAGCACUUUAUAAAUGCCAUUCACUCCUCAGGACAACAAUGAAUGAGCAGUCCUCCCAUUGUACAUAUGAGAAAACUGAGGCUGAGAGAAGAUACACAGCUUAUAAUGCAGUGAGUGACAAAGCCAGAAUCUGGAUUGAAAACUGCUUGAUUAUAUUACAGCUUCCAGGAGGAUGCAGGUAGUUAUACUACUAAUAAUAAAAGCACAUUUUUCAUUUCAAAGUUGUUCUCAGAUAUACAGAUUUCUAACUGGCAUCAAAUUAUCAAACACACAGUAUCAAAUCUAUUAACCUUAUUUAUUUAAUUUUUCCUCACUUCUGCAAUACACAGCUAACUAGCAAUGUUAUAAUACAAAUAAAAUUUUGAUGCCAAUCAGGUAUCAAAAUAAAUUAAAUGGGGAUUAAAACAGAAACAAAAUUUAACCAAAAAUGUGUGUUAUGACAAUACCUAAAGUCCAGAUAGCACAACAUAAUCUGAAGGAAAAAAAAAACGUACAAGUUACAUUUCAUACUCUGAUGUUUUCUAAGUAAAUUACAGCAAUGAAAUUAAUUAUCUAACUAUGAGAUUAUCUGACAUAUCUUCUAGGAUUUACCCCCUAAAAUGACAGAAUUAGAAAUACUUAUUUCAACAUUACCCAGGGUAAAAUGUCAAUAAAAUUCAGUGUGACUUUCAGGUUAUUGUUUUUACCAGGAAUAGAAAAAAUGUGCCUUUAUUUUGUCAGUUCGAAAUAUCUUCUAGUAGUGUAUUACCAGGAUGAUAAACUAAUGAGACAUCUCAUAUUAUGGCACAUCAUAAAUUUUAACUUGAAAUACAUGAAUACAUUUUACAUGAUUGCCCUUUAUAGACUUACUUCAUUUCGGACACACACACAAUAGAAUAUGAGACACUGAAUAGAUAUUUAGAAAACUGCGCUCAUCACCUCUAAGAAAUGCUUCUAAAAUAAAAUGGACUUCCUCUUGUUUCUGGCUUCAGUUGACAUUUACAUUUGCUUCUUCUGGUUGUAAUUUAUUAUGAGUCUUUAUUAAAAGUAGACAGAAGAGGGAGUUCCUGUUGUGGCACGGCGGAAAUGAAUCAGACUAGUGUCCAUGAGGAUGCGGGUUCGAUCCCUGGCCUCAUUCAGUGGGUUAAGGAUCUGGCGUUGCCCUGAGCUGUGGUGUGUGUUGCAGAUGUGGCUUGGAUAUGCUGUUGCUGUGGCUGUGGCACAGGCCAGCAGCUAUAGCUCUGAUUCAAUUCCUAGCCCAGGAACUUCCAUAUGCUGCAGGUGCAGCCUUAAAAAGCAAAUAAAAUAAAAUAAAAUAAAACAAAUAAAAAUAAAGAUAGACAGAAGAUUUAGAGGAUCUGGUGUAACUGAGAUAAGCACUUAUACAAAAAUAAUCCUCUGCCCCUCGUUCCUUUAAUAAGCACAGGAGAUGGCAUGCUCUGGAAGGAACACAGAUUCAGGAACUGGUCAGUGUAGAUCCACCUGGCCUCUUCCCCUUCCACCAGACAUCUGUGGAGAACACCGACCAGGCAGUGCUGGGGUGAGGAGCGGCGACUUUGGGAGGGCUCCCUGCAGUGCGGCUGGCCCACUGCAAGCACUCCCACAACACUAGCUAUUAUUUCCAUUAGCUUCCUCAAGGAGACAAACACCAAGCUGGAUUAAAUUAGAGGCAAAGAGACAGUAUAUAAGAAAUACAAAAGAAAGAGAAGGGUGCAAGAGAAAGAGGUAGGACAGAUCAUUUUUCAUAUGUGGAAAGCUCCAGGAAGUUUACUAGAGGUUAUUAUGUACACUAACCUUUGAAAACUUUGGAACAUGUUGGUACAGUUAGUUCUCAAUCACCUCAGCGUCAGCCCUCUUUACUUUUUCUGGAGGUUACAUAUUGUGUGGAUGCCCCCUGACAUAUUUUUCAUUGCAGAGAAACACUUGCAGAGGGAGAUGGAUGCAUCAUUUCUCCAUGUGGCUCCUUCUCCAGCCUGCACUUGUGGGGAGCUCUGCUGAUGCUGGUGAGGUUCUCAGGACUAGCCGAUGCCAGCCUCCAGCGCAGUACCCAGGAUAAAGCAGGCACUCCACAUUCUCUAACUAAAGAGAAGGGGUUGUACUGGCAAGUAAACCCCUUCUCUAAAGGAAACAGGCAAACGUCUAGCUGAUCACUGUUCUCCUAGCAAUCAGUGGAAGAGUGUUACAGAUGAAUUAGGGGUGGACAACAAAACCAACAGCCAACCACAAAACUAUUUCCUCUCGACACACUCUUAAAAAUGCUGCUCGACAGGAUUUGGGGUAAUCUGUCAAAGUUCUGGACUGUCUCUUUAAAGCGAGGUCCUAUAAUUUAAGAGAUUUGGGGAAAUCUGUCAAGAAUUGGACUGUCUCUUUAAAGUGAGGUCCUAUAACUUAAGAGACCAUAGUAUGUCUUUGAAAACCGUGGGUCCAUUGGAGUAUUUCCGUCAUGACCAACUCCACUGAUUCACCCAACUCAUCAUGUAUUUUUUUGACUGUGACUUGGUUCCCAUAUAGGUCAAUUUACAUGGAAAGAAUGUACUGAUCAUGUAGAAUUGGUACUUCUGCUGAAGGGGACAGUUAAUUCUUAUAGCGAUUCAAAAGAAUAGCUUCUAUUUGUGACUUAAUUUCUUACAUCGCUCAACAAAAAUGAGCUCGUACUUCAUGUCCUCGGUGAUACUUCUUUGUUUUGUUUAAAUAGUAAACUAGUAUUCUAGUAGCAAAAAAUAACAAGAAACUUAACAAACAUACACAUACAUAAUCAUACAACAUAGAAGUUCGUGUGUGUGUGUAUAAGUAUUUAUAAAGAGAUAUUGAUAAAAUCUUAUCUUUUGGAUAAGAAUGACUUUCAAAAUAAUGAGUUCACCUACCUGAAUG
RNAcentral lists this long non-coding RNA (5667 nucleotides) under Sus scrofa (pig). Its description in RNAcentral is "lncRNA (ENSSSCG00015028018.1)". Lineage: Eukaryota; Metazoa; Chordata; Mammalia; Artiodactyla; Suidae. The record is from RNAcentral.